CACACUGGAGAUUGUUUCCUUUUCAUUUCCUUCUUUUUGGAAAAAUGUAUUAAUAAAAGAUCAACAUUCAGGGAUCUUGCACCGAUCGUCACAUAUAACCUGUAAUCCACCCCACUGUGACCAUCUGGACAUUGUUCAAAGGAAGGCCCUCGAUGGCUGAAGACAGGAAGAAAUUGAGAAAAGCAAUGAUUGGGUAAAAUCAGUUGCCUAGCCCACCAUCAUAUAGUUAUCAUCGUGUGUGUGUGUGUGUGUGUG
Pteropus alecto (black flying fox) is the source of this 255-nucleotide long non-coding RNA. RefSeq lists it as uncharacterized. The record is from RefSeq and is a predicted model, not a curated record. Lineage: Eukaryota; Metazoa; Chordata; Mammalia; Chiroptera; Pteropodidae. The transcript is spliced from 3 exons.